Calidris pugnax (ruff) is the source of this 5691-nucleotide long non-coding RNA. RefSeq lists it as uncharacterized. The transcript is spliced from 3 exons. Lineage: Eukaryota; Metazoa; Chordata; Aves; Charadriiformes; Scolopacidae. The record is from RefSeq and is a predicted model, not a curated record.
UAACCUAUGUGAUUGUUUAAUCUUACAGGAUUUUAUUUUUUUUUGUGAUGCUGUUGCAUCGUGGAUUAGCCCAAAAGAUGAUCUCCGAGACAUGUUCUGUAAGAUUCUUCAUGGAUUUAAAAAUCAAGUUGGGGAUGAGAAUUGGAGGCGUUUCUCUGACCAGUUUCCUCUUCCCUUAAAAGAGCGCCUUGCAGCUUACUAUGGAGUUUAACCUCAUGCACUGUAGCUGCAGUCCCAUAAUUAGAGGUCCUUCAGUCUGGGAGACCAUGAGGGAGCCUCUGCACCCAGGGAAAAUGUUACCCUUUACUGGGGGGAAGGGUAAACCAGUAGGGAAUACAGUACAAUCCCAACCCUACUGGGAGGGGCGGGAGGGAGGUGUUGCCGUCACUGUAUUAAGUCGAUGUUGGGAAAUGUUUUAACAUCUGGAGCCUUUGUGGGUGGAAAUCUGUCUCCUAUUACAACUCUGCACUGGAUGUGAAGAAGAAAAAAAAAAAAGAAUCUAGUCACAAAACAGCACAUUCUGGAAUAUUGUGGGGAAUUGUACCAAAAUAAGAACCAUAUAAUUAAACCAUAGGGAUACGUAAAGAGGAAAACUAUUUUGCGCACAAUAAAGGAAACCUAAGAAUGGGGGUCACAAACAGUAAAAGGCUUUCUUUUUUCUUUUAUGUUUUUUAAGUAAGGGUUUUCUACAUUAUUUCAUCCUGCUUGAUGGGAUUCCUAGGUAUUUGCAUGUUAAUGAAGAACUACACAAGUGAAGUUAGUACAGUUAAAAUGCAGCUUGUGUCUGUAUUAGGAGCAGGCGCUUGCAGUGUACAAUAUAGAAACCCCAUCGUAAAUUAAUAAAGGUUAACUUGGACAAAGUGAAGCAACCUGCAAGCUGCCAAAUGAGUCACUCCUUUCAUUUUUGGGGUAAGGGGAGGGACACUUUAAAGGAAAGAUUAACAUCUUAAUUUUUACAUUAAAAAAAGAAGUAAAGUAGUGGAUAUGAUUUGAUUAUUGUACUUCAUUAGAUUUAAUUUCUAGAGUAAGGCAUUAUUCUUAACGUGCAGUUUAAGGUUCAGGCAUGCAUUCUGGCUCAUAGUGAUCAGAAGUAAUUUAAAUUAGUGGGAAAGUAGCAUGCUUGCAUCACAUAGAGUGAAAUUGGUAUACAUUUACCUAUGUUGCGCCAGUUUUGUGUUGCAGUUUACCAAUUCAAUAUAGCCCUGCAUUUAAAAUUCCUUUUUAAGAUUCUGUGGAUUUUUUAAAAAAAGAAUAUAGAUAUAAAGUACUGUAGUUAACAAUUAGGCCUUGAAAUACCUUUUUAGGAUCUUUAAGAAUAGGAUUGAUAUUGUAUUGUGUGUAACCUGCACAAUGUGGAAAGCUGAUAUAGCUGUGCAAAAUAUUUGCCUCUGUGCUGUCAGUGUGAUGUGCUUUCUGCAUGGUUAUAUACUAGUGAUUUUAUCAGAAUCUCUAAAAAUGAGUUACAUGGUAAGACCCGUUAAAGGCUGCAUAAAUGUUAGUUGGCACGUAAAGACAAUUGUAGAAGUUGAUGACAUGAUUGCUAUAUUUGUGUUUAUUCCCACUCAACAUAUUACCUUCUACGCUUUCUUUUUGUUCAAAGCAUGAUCUUAAAGAGAUGUUUAAGUUAAUGGAUGUAAUGCAGGGUAUCUACACUGUUUCGGCGCAUGUUGGUGGCCCUUUGUGAUGUAGUUAAAUGCACAAGGGUGCAAGUUUAAAGCUACAGAGUGAAAGUUGGUUUGGAUCCUCUUCAUUUCAUUUGUUUAGCUUUUCUGUUGUGUUUUUUUUCUCUACUUACAUGUAUUCCUGUGAAUAAAUCCUUGUUAAGUUAACCCUUUACUUUUCCUUUCAUGUGUAUUUUCUUAUGUACUGUGAAUGUGAAAUCCUAACUGGUACACUUGAUCUUGUGUUGAUCUGAAAGUGGCAAGUCUUUAAUAAUUUAGAUUGCCUAAAGAGUAUCCCAUGAUGAUAAAGGAAAAUGGAGAGAUUUUUAACUCUGCUGGUCAGAGGUGAAGCCACACCUUUCCAUUUUUCAAGUGCUGCAUAAUUAAUCUGCAAAACAAAAUUAAGCCAUAACAGCCUUUUUGUAGAUUUAGUUUCUCACCUUUGCAUUGCAGAAUGGAUACUGGAUAACAGUUUUUGGUUGUGGGUUUUUGGUUUUUUUUGGUUGGUUGUUGGUUUGAUUUUUUAUUUUUUUUUUUAAGAACUUGCUCUUCUUUGCAUGGUUCUGUUCUUUGACUGUUGAAUGAUUUAGCCAUUGCACUGAAGUUUGAGCUGUGUGAGUGCGAACUUAUAAAUGCUGUUAAAGAGUUUUGAUUUUUUUUUUUUUUUAAUGCAUGAUAGCAUGCAUGUUUUACAUCCCCCCCUCCCCACCCUCUUUUGUUUGGCUUUGCAAAUUUUUAUGAAUUAUACUGAAGAAUAGUUUGGACAUGUACUGUAUGAAGUACAUUCAGUAAUGCUAGUACAUAGUAUUUAUUCAAUUUGGUCAAAAUUGCAUGUAAUAACUUGCUUUCAAAUUACAUUGCUUUGGUAGCAAAUACAAAAUUCCUUCUUAACUAAGAACUCUGAACUAAAUUAGCAAUAGUCACUAAAAACACUUGAAAACCAAAUUCUGAAAGGAAAAAAAAUCCCAAACCUUUAAAAUAUAGCAAGGUGGGAUAUUAUUUCAUACCCAAACUUGCUCCAAUUUUGACUGUGUUUGUAUGAACAUUAGGGAAGAGUUUCAGAGAAAUUACAUUUAAAAAAUUGUAGAAUGGAAAACUUACCCAAAUAAUACUGUAGCAUAACAGCUAGAAUCUGAGUUUAAUUAUCUGCUUAAAUUCCAGGAAGCCCCUUUAACCAAAUAAAACCACUCCACCUCACCUCAGAUUAGCUUAGGAUGCCACUUUUGUACAUGCGUAUUUUAAUAGGUAUUUGUACAGAUGUGAACUGAUCUGGUAUAACAGCAAGGAAAAGAAUUAAAAUAAGGCAGAAAUAAACAGUACUGACAAAAUAGUCUUUUGUAUCAGUAAGUUCUCUCAUGGUAUAUUUUAAAGCAAAUAAACCAUAUUCUUCAUACAUGAUAUACCGCAGAGAUUUGCAGAAGCUAUUUAGGGUAUACUGUGAGGUAAGAAAAGUUCUGAAUCAGCAUUAACAUUUAUAAUUGAACUAUUGCAUCAUGGGAUAUAUAAAAAGCAUCUUAAUUCUUGUGGUGUAGUCUUGACAGUUCUUGAAUGUUGACUGAAUGUUUUUACUGGUAGAAUUGUGAGUUUGUCUUUGUUACAUUCCAGUGUUUCUGCCUCUUGGCAUGCUAAAGGCACGGCUUACUUCAUUUGCUCCUUACACACUGAAUAAAGUGCUGUUAGUGUGCUAAACUACAGAAAUAGCCGCUGCUAAGUAAUGGUGUAGAUUUUCUACUUGAAUAUUUUUGUUGUAGAAACCUCAGGAGGUCAGUGUUUACUGUUUUUAUAUAUGCCUUUUUCCUGUUUUGAGUUUCCCUUUUUGAAGGAUUCUGAGAGUGAACAAAAGCUGCUGAUCAACCUAAGUUGGUAACAGAAAGUGUAUUUAAAAUCCUUAUAAAUGCAUCUUUUUGGCAGUUCUAAAUUGCUGUUAAAUUAGUCUUAAAUGAAGUUCAAUACUAAUUUUUUUUCAUUACGCAUUCAGGAAACAGCUCCUUUCAUUUAGGGAAAAAGAUCAGAAUAUAGUUCAUUUAUUUUAAGCAGUGCAAGCAAAAAUAAUCAAUUUUGUAAAUUUUUUCCAAAGCUUGAUUAUUUUCUAAAUCAGUGAAUAUGUAUAUAUUUAAAUUGUAAUAAGCUAAUUCUUAUGCUUCAGUUUAUUGCUCCUUAAAGCUUGUACUCAAAAGAUCACUUUUAGAAGAAUGGGUUUAAAAUUUAUAAUCAUUAUAAUUUUUAAAAAUUAUGAAGUAGCAUAAAUUUUGUAACUAACAAUAUUGAUACACACUGUGAUUUAUUUUUUUGUUAGGACUUUCAUGUUAGCAUCAAUCUUAAUUACUUAAACUGCAUAUAUUGUAUAAUAGUAAAAUGUAUAUUUUAAAACUUCAAGUGGCUUUCCUCAAGCGAAACUCAUUGCUACUUAGAAAUAGUCAAAUUCUAGCUUUAUCUCAGGUGAAUACUCUUGUACCCUUUUUGUUCAGAACACAUGCUAAUAAAAAUGUGUCUUAAUUAUAUCAGUUCAUGUAUUUUAUUUAGGCAGCUCCUCUGUCUUAAACUUACUCUAAAUUAACCUUUUACUGUGGGACAAUAAUGACUUUUGCUUCACCUAUUUUAUUCAUAUUGAAUGUAUUAACAGAUAAGGUGCAAAACCAUUCUUCCCUUGAGGAGAAUGCAUCCAUGUUCAAACAACUGAAAUAUUUCUUGAAAAAUGCUUUAAAUGCAACAUUAUAUUGGAAAUCGUUUGUUUCUUAUUUUGUCAAGGAAAGAAGUUGCAACUUAACACUAAUCGCUUCAAUACUAACUUUUUCAUGGGGAUGAUAGAUGCAUAAAGCUUCUAUAUAGGGUCUAAAGAGUAACUUUUUAUCUUAGAUAAAGGUUAAGCUCACAGUGAAAUGGCAGAACAUCCUGCAGUUAUCUCAGAUAGACGCUGAUGUAGUUUGCAUACGUAUUUGUUAUAUAUUACAUAAGUAUUUCCAGUAACCUCAUUUUGCAUAAAUAAUGCUUGAUCAGUAGCUGUGUAUUUCACUCACCUAUGCAUUCUCCAGAAUGACUUGCAUCCAUUAGUCUUCUAAGUAUUCUUCUUCAAUAGAAACUGUGUUUUGUUUGCCACUGAUGCUUGCUCUUUGCACUUAAUGGUUGGAGCAAGCCAGUUUUUAGAUUACUAUUUUAAAUGGGGAACUGAGGCGAGUACUCUUGUUGCUUGCCUUGUAAGAGUAUAUUCUGCUAAAAUAAUGAUACUUUCUCACUUGAAUGUACUUAUAUGAGGGAAGUUUAAAAUGGCUCUGUAAGGUGAAUCCCUGUAUGGUGUUACGGUAUACUUUAAGCCAAAUCCACAUCGAAGAAUUCAGCACUUACAGUAUAGUAUCAUUUUUUCUAUAAGCUGGUUCUGUUGUGUUACUUUCGCCUUAGGUAUCUAUUUCCUUACUUUGGGUGAGCAACAAAAUUGAGAAGGCCUGGGUGUCUUUUGUGAGGACAGCGAUUAGAAAAAAAAAACAACUAUUGGUAUAAGCAGGUUCAUUUGGCUGUUGAAAUCUCCAGUGUAAUAUUAUCUUUUUUCAUGGGAAGAGAUAGGUAGUUAUGUUGUAUAUUGUUUGACUUACUAAUACUAGACACUUUAAAAUUUUAAAUUGGAUGCAGUAGACAAAAUAGUUUAAAAUGAAAGAUGACUGGAUCUUUCUGCUGACAACUUAGGUUGUAUGAGUUUUGCUUGAAAGCUUUAAAUCUGAUGUUUCCGUAUCUGCCACAAUGUUGGAAUGUUUCCUUCAAACAUAUCCUCCUGCAACCUCUCAAACUGUACUAAAUUGAGUGAUACUUCUUGAAGUCUGCCUAUGUGCUAACAGAACUUCAUUUUAAAUAGAAUAUGGUUUUAAUUUUUGAUAAGCUGCUGAAUUUUAAAGAGUUUUUGGGGCCACCAAAUAUUUUGGAUCAUGCAGAGAAUAUAUAUUGUACUGUAGUAAUUUUGUAUUUACAUUUGUAUGAUGUGACAUAAUAGAUGUGAAUGUUAAUCACUGCUUGACUAUGUUAAUAAAGUUGUUUAAAUAUA